CCGGUUUAAGCGUGUAGGCUGGUUUUCCAGGCAAAUCCGGAAAAUCAAGGCUGAGGCGUGAUGACGAGGCACUACGGUGCUGAAGCAACAAAUGCCCUGCUUCCAGGAAAAGCCUCUAAGCAUCAGGUAACAUCAAAUCGUACCCCAAACCGACACAGGUGGUCAGGUAGAGAAUACCAAGGCGCUUGAGAGAACUCGGGUGAAGGAACUAGGCAAAAUGGUGCCGUAACUUCGGGAGAAGGCACGCUGAUAUGUAGGUGAGGUCCCUCGCGGAUGGAGCUGAAAUCAGUCGAAGAUACCAGCUGGCUGCAACUGUUUAUUAAAAACACAGCACUGUGCAAACACGAAAGUGGACGUAUACGGUGUGACGCCUCCCCGGUGCCGGAAGGUUAAUUGAUGGGGUUAGCGCAAGCGAAGCUCUUGAUCGAAGCCCCGGUAAACGGCGGCCGUAACAAUAACGGUCCUAAGGUAGCGAAAUUCCUUGUCGGGUAAGUUCCGACCUGCACGAAUGGCGUAAUGAUGGCCAGGCUGUCUCCACCCGAGACUCAGUGAAAUUGAACUCGCUGUGAAGAUGCAGUGUACCCGCGGCAAGACGGAAAGACCCCGUGAACCUUUACUAUAGCUUGACACUGAACAUUGAGCCUUGAUGUGUAGGAUAGGUGGGAGGCUUUGAAGUGUGGACGCCAGUCUGCAUGGAGCCGACCUUGAAAUACCACCCUUUAAUGUUUGAUGUUCUAACGUUGACCUGUAAUCCGGGUUGCGGACAGUGUCUGGUGGGUAGUUUGACUGGGGCGGUCUCCUCCUAAAGAGUAACGGAGGAGCACGAAGGUUGGCUAAUCCUGGUCGGACAUCAGGAGGUUAGUGCAAUGGCAUAAGCCAGCUUGACUGCGAGCGUGACGGCGCGAGCAGGUGCGAAAGCAGGUCAUAGUGAUCCGGUGGUUCUGAAUGGAAGGGCCAUCGCUCAACGGAUAAAAGGUACUCCGGGGAUAACAGGCUGACACCGCCCAAGAGUUCAUAUCGACGGCGGUGUUUGGCACCUCGAUGUCGGCUCAUCACAUCCUGGGGCUGAAGUAGGUCCCAAGGGUAUGGCUGUUCGCCAUUUAAAGUGGUACGCGAGCUGGGUUUAGAACGUCGUGAGACAGUUCGGUCCCUAUCUGCCGUGGGCGCUGGAGAACUGAGGGGGGCUGCUCCUAGUACGAGAGGACCGGAGUGGACGCAUCACUGGUGUUCGGGUUGUCAUGCCAAUGGCACUGCCCGGUAGCUAAAUGCGGAAGAGAUAAGUGCUGAAAGCAUCUAAGCACGAAACUUGCCCCGAGAUGAGUUCUCCCUGACCCUUUAAGGGUCCUGAAGGAACGUUGAAGACGACGACGUUGAUAGGCCGGGUGUGUAAGCGCAGCGAUGCGUUGAGCUAACCGGUACUAAUGAACCGUGAGGCUUAACCUG
RNAcentral lists this ribosomal RNA (1443 nucleotides) under metagenome. RNAcentral's name for it is "bacterial LSU rRNA". It matches the Rfam family "Bacterial large subunit ribosomal RNA", at positions 1507 to 2925 of the family's 2925-position model. The record is from RNAcentral.